AUGCUGCUUGUAUCACCACCUGCUACUACAGUAGACUCUAUGUCUCUAUCUCCAAUGGCAGUUGCUGGAAGUGAGUUUUGAGAAGCAUGCAUAAGGUUCAAGCUGGUAACUCUUUUAUCUAGCUAGUGCAAUGUUCGUUAAAACAAUUUGAGUUAUUCCAACUUUACUUAAUGUCCCUAAUGGCAACAACAACACCUUGUAUGUUUUGAGACCAUCUAGUUUGCG
Molecule: unclassified non-coding RNA, 225 nt
Filed under: Hevea brasiliensis (rubber tree)
Lineage: Eukaryota; Viridiplantae; Streptophyta; Magnoliopsida; Malpighiales; Euphorbiaceae
Source: RNAcentral